This 66-nucleotide transfer RNA is filed under the name bovine gut metagenome. It matches the Rfam family "tRNA". Rfam says of the family: Transfer RNA (tRNA) molecules are approximately 80 nucleotides in length. Their secondary structure includes four short double-helical elements and three loops (D, anti-codon, and T loops). The record is from RNAcentral.
GGAUUUAGUUUAAUGGUAGAACAGAAGUCUCCAAAACUUUUAGUGAGAGUUCGAUUCUUUCAAUCC